GCCCAGAUAGCUCAGUCGGUAGAGCAGCGGACUGAAAAUCCGCGUGUCGGCGGUUCGAUCCCGUCUCUGGGCACCA
This 76-nucleotide transfer RNA is filed under the name bacterium. Its description in RNAcentral is "tRNA-Phe". It matches the Rfam family "tRNA". Rfam says of the family: Transfer RNA (tRNA) molecules are approximately 80 nucleotides in length. Their secondary structure includes four short double-helical elements and three loops (D, anti-codon, and T loops). The record is from RNAcentral.